UUUAAGUAAACAAAGUUGUGAAAAAAAAACAAAAAAAGAAUAGUAUUUGCCAUGGCAAGCCUAAACUUCUGGAAAUACAUUUUGCUGGAGGGGACUAGGGCAGGCACUAUUCACGUGAAUAGUAACUGCCCUAGGGCUCCCAUUGCCAUGGCAAGGGGCUAACUGGUGGAAAUGCUCAAGGAAAAAAAUUUGGGCUCUUUACAUGGCACAUCAGCACUUGUUGCAAAAAGACUAAAAUAGCCAUGGCACAUUAUCAAAACUAAUAGAGCUAUUAAUGGAAAUAACGGUGGGGGUAAAGUGGAACACGAAACCACGGUCAAGGGGGUUAAGUGGGUUAUUUUAAUUUUAGAGGAUAAAGUGAUAUUUAACCAAAGUUUCAGGGGGUACUACAGUAAAUAAGCCUAAAUAUAAUCAUUCACGUUCACUCCAUGUUAGAGCAUUCACAAUGAUGCUCUCUAUUUCUUAGCUAAAAUUUAGCUAAAAAUAUAAGAAAACUAUUUUAGGAUAUUUUUAGCUAAAUUUUAGGAGUUCUCUAAAAAAAUUUAACUCCAACCAUACUCCCUAAUUUGGAGAGUCAUAAAUGCUAUAACUCUUUUUUGAUUGGGCCAUUUCUAUUAAAAAAAAUUAAACAAAAAAAUAGUUAGCAUUAAAUAAAGGUUUGAAAUACUCAUUAAAUAAAGCAGUAUUAAAUUAUAGGGAGCCAUUAGGAGUCCUUUCUCUCUCUUCAGAUUUAGGAGCUCCUAGAGGACUCCCUAUUUUAGGAAGUGAAUAUGUAGCAUAGUUGGAAUUGCAUUUUUACGAUUCCUCCCUAAAAUUUGUUUAAGGAGGUGGUUUAGAGAGCCCAUUGUGGAUGCUCUUAUAACUUAGCACUCGUCACUCACCAAUAUUAUUUGAGUGGCGCUAUUUCCACACGUCUAUUUUAUUUUAAAAAUAAAUCUACUUGUUUGUAAAAUGACUUGCUUAAGGGAAAAAAACACCUAUUCUCUCUCAUCCCAACCAGACCCAAAUCAAAAUUUCAAUAAAGCUUUAAAAUUUCCAACUGGGUCCAAUCCAGUUCCAUCAGAUUUCUCCUCAGUUUCUGAACCCAAAGGCACAAGCUUUCUGUUCCAUUUGCUCAGUUUGCUCUUCGUCCUCUUUCUAAUUCUGGCAUUUCUCUCUGUUAUUGUUUUACCAUGACCUAUUUCCUUAAAACUCAAGCAAUUGAUCACACCCAGAUCAAAAUCCAGCAAAACUUCAGAAUUUCCAACUGAGUCCAAUCAAAUUCAGCAUCUUUCGCCAAAAUCUCCAAAGAUAACACAUUUAUAUACACACCUGCAGUAAAUAUGAUGCACGCAAAAUCUGACUCGGAUGUAACAAGCUUGGCACCUUCAUCGCCAAGUUGAACAAAUGAUAAUAGGUGCAAAUCUUCCAUCCCCGUUAUAGUUUCUGGCAUUGAUGAAGAUAGGGCAUCGAGAGAAGAGAAAAGGCUGAAGCUACCCACAAGGAAAAUAUAUCAAUAAAUCCAUAUCAAAGAGUAAAAUCCUCUGAAGUUGCAACAAAUGCUUACUGGAAGAUUUUGUUUUUUUAUUUUUUUAUUUUUAUUAUUUGUGUUUUCACAUAUUUUUUUUCUUGGGAUUGAGGAUUCUGAAGAUUGAAUUUUGUUGUAAGAGAACUGAAGAAAAGAAAAUACUGGAUUUUGUUUUUCAUUCAGUAGAUAGACGAUAAACAUUGAGAGCAAUUUUUUUUAUUUUUUAAUUAUUUUUAAAAAGACUUUACAGAGGAUCCCCAUGUGUGUUUUUUUUUUUUUUUGGAUAAGGAAAAAAGAACUACAACGGGAAACCACACGGGCACGCAGGCCCUAUCAAGUCAAAAUAAAAUGGCACAAAACAGCCAUGUGUUUUGAUUGACAAGGAUUGAAGGUUUGAAGCAUGCUUUGAAUUAAAGUAAGGAGAAUUUACUUGAAUUAAUAAUUAAAUGGUAUUUUAGAAAUAAUGGUGGGUGUAAAGAUAGAAUUGUGUUUUUUCCAAUUUAUGUGAUAAAUGGGAAGAUAAAGUGAGUGAAAAAAUAGGACUCGGAGGUGAAAAUAGCAUCAUUCUAUUAUAUAAGAGUUUUUUGGUCAUAUAAUAGUUUCUCAAUUAAAACUAAUAAAUUUUUGAUUUUAUUUGUAGUGAUAACUUUUUCUUUGAAAUCAGUGAGGGGGAUUGGACUGGGUAGUUGUAAAAAGUGAGAUAUCCAUAUGAAGUGUGCUUGUCGGUUUUUCUUUUUCUCUUUGGAUGAUGUGUGUAGGCAACUACAAUAAAUUGAUUGAUCCUUGUUAAAUUUGAAGUUAAAAAAUAAAAAGUUAAUUCCUUCCUUUUUUUGCUUUCAUGGAGCUCAUCCGCACCAUCUUCUAUAGGAUUCUUGUCCCUUUUUCUUUU
RNAcentral lists this long non-coding RNA (2396 nucleotides) under Prunus persica (peach). Its description in RNAcentral is "long non-coding RNA (PPER_LNC003032)". Lineage: Eukaryota; Viridiplantae; Streptophyta; Magnoliopsida; Rosales; Rosaceae. The record is from RNAcentral.